Molecule: long non-coding RNA, 1381 nt
Organism: Acyrthosiphon pisum (pea aphid)
Lineage: Eukaryota; Metazoa; Arthropoda; Insecta; Hemiptera; Aphididae
Exons: 3
Source: RefSeq, a predicted model, not a curated record
UAAAAAGGAGGUUGGAGAUAUUUCCCAUUACGCACCAACAAAAGAACGUGUAAAUGAGUGGAGUGAAAUUUUAGGUGUACAGUUGACAGUAACUAGUUUUGUGUGUGAAAGACAUUUCUGAUCCCAAGACGUACUCGAGCCCGAAUUAUUGGUAAAUGUUUUUAAUAAAAAAUUAAAACUAUUAGUACCUAAUGCUUUGCCAGUGCCAAUGAAUGAGGUGCCUGUAUUGAGUACAUGUGAAGAUCAAUUCAUAAGUCCAAUAGAGAUUGAAGCUGCUGAACAGUCGUCGUCAGAAAAAAAAACAAUGUAAAAGGUUGCCGAAAAGAGAGAAAUUGUAAUACAACUAAGAAGAAAAAUGUUAGAGAUUGAAAGAAAUCGUCAACUUCAACUAGCUUUGAAACCAUCUGGAGUUCCAAACACUAAGAAUAAUAUUUAAAUAUUUAUAUAUUAUGCAUUGUAUUUGCUAAUUUUAAGUAUAUUUAUUAGACAAUUGUAUUUUUAUUUUAGUUAAUUUAUAAAAAAAAGUUUAAAAUUGUAUUAUUUGUACUACAACGUUUGAGAUACAAAUUAUAAGAACUUAAUGUAUUAAUUAUUAACAUUAAAUUGGGACAAAAAUAAUAAGAAAUAAAUAUUUCAAUAUUGUUAAAUAGCUUCACCAGCAUCUUAUGAAUAAUAUUAUGUGAUAUUUCACUACAUUUGAUUUUCGAAAAAUCCAUAGAACCUAAAAAAAUGUAAUCUAUUAGUAACAUAAAAAAAUAAAUGUAAAAUGACUUAUUGCAUAAUAUAAACAUUUUAAUUGUAAGAUUAUAUGUACAUUUCGGACAAGAACUAACGAUAAAACUAUAACCAAGAUAAAUUGCUUUUAUAUUAUACUAUAAUUUUUAAACUAUAUUGUUUUUAGUCAACCAAACUUAGAUUUUCAAUAGCCACUUAAUGUAGCUAUUAUAGUCAGAUAACAAAAUUAAGUAAUGCAUUUGAAUAACUGAAAAUUUUACCGACUCAAAAGGUUAAGGAAUUAAAUGUUUUUUAAGUUAAUACCUAUAAAUAUAAAUAAAGUAAGACCAAGUAUAAUUAUCAAUUAUGUUUAUCUUUUAUACACCUAUAGUUUUUAACAAUUGUGUCGAAAGAUUGAUUAAUUUUCCAAAAGUUAAUUAUCUUUACUUCGGAAAACAGCUUUUAUAUUCUUGAUAGUAAUUUUUCUUUUCUAAUAACUAGUUUUACAUUUUUUUUUUAAAUUUCACGCAUAAUAUUGAAUGUAUUGAUUACAGUUUAUGAAAUAUUAGAUAAACCUAACACAUUUAUAGGAGAUAGUGGUUCAUUUUAACAAACUUGGACACUAUUUUUAAUUUAUGAAAAAUAAUAAAGAAUCAUAUGAAUUUAA